Molecule: transfer RNA, 71 nt
Filed under: Candidatus Riesia sp.
Lineage: Bacteria; Pseudomonadati; Pseudomonadota; Gammaproteobacteria; Enterobacterales; Enterobacteriaceae
Description: tRNA-Gln
Rfam family: tRNA
About the family: Transfer RNA (tRNA) molecules are approximately 80 nucleotides in length. Their secondary structure includes four short double-helical elements and three loops (D, anti-codon, and T loops).
Source: RNAcentral
AGCCAGUUAGCUUAAUGGUAAAGCGUUCGGCUUUGACCCGAAAGUUAUAGGUUCAAUUCCUAUACUGGCUU